UGAGGAAUAUUGCACAAUGGGCGAAAGCCUGAUGCAGCAACGCCGCGUGAGCGAUGAAGGCCUUCGGGUCGUAAAGCUCUGUCCUCAAGGAAGAUAAUGACGGUACUUGAGGAGGAAGCCCCGGCUAACCACGUGCCAGCAGCCGCGGUAAUACGUAGGGGGCUAGCGUUAUCCGGAAUUACUGGGCGUAAAGGGUGCGUAGGUGGUUUCUUAAGUCAGAGGUGAAAGGCUAUGGCUCAACCGUAGUAAGCCUUUGAAACUGGGAAACUUGAGUGCAGGAGAGGAGAGUUGAAUUCCUAGUGUAGCGGUGAAAUGCGUAGAUAUUAGGAGGAACACCAGUUGCGAAGGCGGCUCUCUGGACUGUAACUGACCCUGAGGCACGAAAGCGUGGGGAGCAAACA
RNAcentral lists this ribosomal RNA (401 nucleotides) under uncultured prokaryote. RNAcentral describes it as "bacterial SSU rRNA". It matches the Rfam family "Bacterial small subunit ribosomal RNA", at positions 355 to 774 of the family's 1533-position model. The record is from RNAcentral.